This 802-nucleotide long non-coding RNA is filed under the name Dermacentor andersoni. Its description in RNAcentral is "uncharacterized LOC126525182". Lineage: Eukaryota; Metazoa; Arthropoda; Arachnida; Ixodida; Ixodidae. The record is from RNAcentral.
UUCCACGUGACGGAUGAUUAUCACAUCCGUUUGAUGGCGUAUAAAAAGUCAGAAAUUUGUUGAAACACCAGCAACAUUUGGUCGUCUCGUGUUGGUUGAUACCUUUGUAGGUUCGACUCCCUUGAUAAGUGAAGAACAUCCAAUAAGGUGUUCAUCAUGACGACGUGUAAACCCAAUCAGAGCCUGAAGACCAUAAUAUUUAUAGCCAUCCUGUGCUUUUCGUGCGGAACAAUGAAGAGCCUGGGAACAAGUGCGGCUGGAAUCCUGCAUUCAAGAGAGUCCAUAUUUGGCCAAGAAGGGUCAUCAGGUUCUGGCACGGGUGGUAGUGGCAGCUCACCAGGCGGAGGCAGCAGUGGAACAGGGGGGAUUGGCUCCUCGCUUGGAUCGGGCGCUGACGGAAGCCUUUCGGGUACGGGGAGCUCUGGAACAGCGGGAAUUCGUGGUCUCGGUGGCAGUGGAAGCACAGGGACGAUGACUGGCUCGGGGACGAGUGGAAGCGGAGGUUCGUCUGGUACGGGUGGCGCUGCUACUGGUACAGGAACUGGUGGGCUCGGAAGUAUUCCAGGCAUCGGAACAAAUGGCAAUGGCAUUUCUAGUGGAUAGAUCGCGGGCAUGCAUGUAUGACUCGGGGUUGGAAGAUGUACAAGUUAGAGUCAAUGCUCGACUUGGAACAAGCGACUAACGCCAAACAACAGAUGGAAUGGUGACGGUGGGACACUAAUUUCUGGGAAACCAAACUCGAGCGCGUCUGUUUCUUUGUUACCUGUUGCCUUAAUAAAAUGGACAUAAAGGAGAAAAAUUA